Molecule: transfer RNA, 73 nt
Filed under: Stegodyphus mimosarum
Lineage: Eukaryota; Metazoa; Arthropoda; Arachnida; Araneae; Eresidae
Rfam family: tRNA
About the family: Transfer RNA (tRNA) molecules are approximately 80 nucleotides in length. Their secondary structure includes four short double-helical elements and three loops (D, anti-codon, and T loops).
Source: Rfam by way of RNAcentral
GUCUUCGUGGUGUAGUGGUCAGCACGCUGGGCGCAUAUUCCAGAGGUCCGUGGUUCGAGUCCCGGCGAGAGCA